CCUACGGGAGACUGCAGUGAGGAAUAUUGGUCAAUGGCCGAGAGGCUGAACCAGCCAAGUCGCGUGAGGGAAGAAUGUCCUAUGGAUUGUAAACCUCUUUUGUCAGGGAGCAAAGUCACCCACGUGUGGGUGUUGGAGAGUACCUGAAGAAAAAGCAUCGGCUAACUCCGUGCCAGCAGCCGCGGUAAUACGGAGGAUGCGAGCGUUAUCCGGAUUUAUUGGGUUAAAGGGGUGCGUAGGCGGGUUAUCAAGUCAGCGGUAAAAUCGUGGAGCUCAACUCCAGCCAGCCGUUGAAACUGAUGGUCUUGAGUGGGCGAGAGGUAUGCGGAAUGCGUGGUGUAGCAGUGAAAUGCAUAGAUAUCACGCAGAACUCCGAUGGCGAAGGCAGCAUACCGGCGACCGACUGACGCUGAAGCACGAAGGCGUGGGUAGCGAACGGGAUUAGAUACCCGGGUAGUC
Molecule: ribosomal RNA, 459 nt
Filed under: uncultured bacterium
Lineage: Bacteria
Description: partial 16S ribosomal RNA
Rfam family: Bacterial small subunit ribosomal RNA
Source: RNAcentral